Molecule: ribosomal RNA, 465 nt
Filed under: uncultured bacterium
Lineage: Bacteria
Description: partial 16S ribosomal RNA
Rfam family: Bacterial small subunit ribosomal RNA
Source: RNAcentral
GACGAACGCUGGCGGCGUGCUUAACACAUGCAAGUCGAACGGAAAGGCCCCUUUGGGGGUACUCGAGUGGCGAACGGGUGAGUAACACGUGAGUAACCUGCCCUUGACUUCGGGAUAACUUCAGGAAACUGGGGCUAAUACCGGAUAGGAAUCCUUGCUGCAUGGUGGGGGUUGGAAAGCUUCGGCGGUUUUGGAUGGACUCGCGGCUUAUCAGCUUGUUGGUGGGGUAUUGGCUUACCAAGGCUUUGACGGGUAGCCGGCCUGAGAGGGCGACCGGCCACAUUGGGACUGAGAUACGGCCCAGACUCCUACGGGAGGCAGCAGUGGGGAAUAUUGCACAAUGGGCGGAAGCCUGAUGCAGCAACGCCGCGUGCGGGAUGACGGCCUUCGGGUUGUAAACCGCUUUCAGCAGGGGCGAAGCUUGUGGUGACGGUACCUGCAGAAGAAGCACCGGCUAACUACGUG